Molecule: unclassified non-coding RNA, 236 nt
Filed under: fungal sp.
Lineage: Eukaryota; Fungi
Description: partial internal transcribed spacer region
Rfam family: Eukaryotic small subunit ribosomal RNA (bases 1-45)
Source: RNAcentral
AGUCGUAACAAGGUUUCCGUAGGUGAACCUGCGGAAGGAUCAUUAUAGAAUUGGCAGCUUGCUGCCUUCACUAUAACAUACUGUUCACGUUCCUGUUGCUUCCCUGGCACAUAGGAGGCCUGCCCUUCUGGGCUUGCUUCCGCCAGGGAAAUUUCUGUUAAACAUAUUGUGUAUUUAUUCUGAAUAGACCAUGAAAAUGGAUAUUAAAACUUUCAACAACGGAUCUCUAGGCUCUU